Molecule: ribosomal RNA, 500 nt
Filed under: uncultured bacterium
Lineage: Bacteria
Description: partial 16S ribosomal RNA
Rfam family: Bacterial small subunit ribosomal RNA
Source: RNAcentral
AUUGUACGCUGGCGGCAUGCCUUACACAUGCAAGUCGAACGGCAGCACGGGGGCAACCCUGGUGGCGAGUGGCGAACGGGUGAGUAAUACAUCGGAACGUGUCCUGUAGUGGGGGAUAGCCCGGCGAAAGCCGGAUUAAUACCGCAUACGACCUGAGGGAGAAAGCGGGGGAUCUUCGGACCUCGCGCUAUAGGGGCGGCCGAUGGCAGAUUAGCUAGUUGGUGGGGUAAAGGCCUACCAAGGCGAAGAUCUGUAGCUGGUCUGAGAGGACGACCAGCCACACUGGGACUGAGACACGGCCCAGACUCCUACGGGAGGCAGCAGUGGGGAAUUUUGGACAAUGGGGGCAACCCUGAUCCAGCAAUGCCGCGUGUGUGAAGAAGGCCUUCGGGUUGUAAAGCACUUUUGUCCGGAAAGAAAACUUCGUCCCUAAUAUGGAUGGAGGAUGACGGUACCGGAAGAAUAAGCACCGGCUAACUACGUGCCAGCCGCCGCGGUAA